CCGCGCUAAGCGGGGAGCUGGCGAUGCCCUGUACCUGCGAUCGCCUAGCAGGGCCUAGAUCCCCGCCCGAGGCGUGUACCGGGUCCGGUAGAGAUCGGUUUGGGAGCGUUGAUGGUUUGGUCUCGGGCAAUGAGGUCCCGUGAACUGUGUCAGGGCCGGAAGGCAGCAGCACUAAGCGGGUCUCCUCAUGUGCUAUCGGGGUAGCCAGGCCGGAGCCGACGGCCGGGAGUUCGCCGGGUUCGAUCACGUCGACGGUGGGGUGCGCGG
This 267-nucleotide signal recognition particle RNA is filed under the name Actinomycetota bacterium. RNAcentral describes it as "signal recognition particle sRNA large type". It matches the Rfam family "Bacterial large signal recognition particle RNA". From Rfam's summary of the family: The signal recognition particle (SRP) is a universally conserved ribonucleoprotein involved in the co-translational targeting of proteins to membranes. The record is from RNAcentral. Lineage: Bacteria; Bacillati; Actinomycetota.